CCAACUGACCAGCCCUUUUGUUUUCUCGACUUCCAAGCAUUCCCUGUUCAGAACCCUGAACCCACCGUUAUAAUUACAUUUCUCGGUAACCCCUUUUCCCAUCCUCGUUAGCAAGUGAUAAGGUAAAAGCUACCCGUCCCUUGAGGUUUAUCCGGUGCCACUGCAUCCUUAAAUGCACAUUCUUACCCUUUCCAACAACUUUUCCUUGGUACCUUCCUUUCAUCCACACAUGCUCCCGAAAUACAUAAAAAGAUCCCAAUUUUCUGACUAGAGUCUAGAGGUAGUAGAUAGACAGUAGUCCUAGCAAUCCCUUCAAUUCUCUACGCAUUUUCUUUUAUUAUUCACAAGUAUCGAACACUCUUAAGUCACUUCCUAAAAAAGCCUAGCUAGUUUGAGUAGUUUCUCCUUUCUCCUUUCCUUCGACUCCCUAGACAGUCAAGAUAAUCAUGAGCCACUCAUCAUGAUAUAAUCACAACUCUCAUUCGCCUGCUUUUUGAUCUUUCUCCAAGUUCCAAGCUUGUCCUGCCCCAUCGUCUUCUUAAUUUUUACACUUCAAAUCUGCUUACUAGCACGGACUCCAUGAGGAAUACAGGCUCUAGUUUCCCUGAUCUUUCUUUACAAAUCAGUCCACCAUCCUUGAGGAAUUAUGAUAUCAAAGAAGUAGGAUACGAGAUUGGAUUGAUGGUGAAAAGUUCUUAUCCUAGUGACCGUAGCUCGACCACUGAUUCCGGAAGCUGCGGAAGCGAUUUAAGCCAUGAAAAUGGUGGGUUUGAUCCAGAAAGGAGUUUAAGUUAUCCUUCUGUCGAUCCAACUUUGAGUCUAGGGUUCGACAUGGCUGUUUCCAAUCCUCUUCCCCUCCAACCUCCGAGAAAUUUCCAAGCGUACCACCAUUAUCAACCUCAAAUAUACGGACGUGACUUCAAGAGAAAUUCAAGAAUGAUAAAUGGGCUUAAAAGAAGCGUUAGAGCUCCUCGAAUGCGAUGGACUUCAACUCUUCAUGCUCAUUUUGUUCACGCAGUUCAGCUCCUCGGUGGCCAUGAAAGAGCUACACCAAAAUCAGUGCUGGAGUUGAUGAACGUCAAGGAUCUAACCCUAGCUCAUGUCAAGAGUCAUUUGCAGAUGUAUAGAACAGUAAAGAGCACUGACAAAGGCGCAGCAGGACCAAUAGGGCAGACAGACGUGGUUUUGAGCCAAAGGACAGGGAUGGCUGAAGUUGAGAGCCUUGAAGCAGGCGUGGAACUGUCUUGUGAGAAGGCCGGUUCCAACCCUUCUGCAAAUUCAAUCAAUAUUUCACUACCAUCAUCAUCACCAUCACUACCAACAACACUACACAAUGCUCAGAGACCUUCAUGUGAGUUACCACCAAGGACAAAUAUAUGGUGCCACCCAAGUCAAGAAAAUUCAUUGAGAUGUUAUCAACAUGGAGACAAGGACACAAAGGGUGCCGGAAUUGAUUCACUCCACCAUAUGUCCGGGAAGAUGGAGAAGAAGUUAGAUAGUAAUAGUACAAAUAGGUCAAUGUUGGCAUCUUCCGACAUGCUGCUCAAUCUUGAGUUCACCCUCGGGAGGUCAAGCUGGCAACUGGACCACGACGCAAAUAAUACUACUGACUUGACCAUUAAUCUCAAAUGUUGAAACCUGAAAGCUACAACUGGAAACAUUUAUUAAUCUGGAAGUAUCAUCAUCAAUAUCUUCUAGGACGAAAGGCAUUUUUAUGUGCCGAUCUUUCGAUUUUGUCUGGAAGCAACAGACCCAAAGGUGAAGGAAGAGUGUGAUGCUACAAUUGCAUUAGUGAGCGUAAACCUUGUUACAUUGAUCCGG
This is a non-coding RNA of Coffea arabica (coffee), 1821 nucleotides long. The record is from RefSeq and is a predicted model, not a curated record. Lineage: Eukaryota; Viridiplantae; Streptophyta; Magnoliopsida; Gentianales; Rubiaceae.